CAUCGAAAAUUGACACAGAGGCGGCCAAAAAUGACAUAAUGGUCGCCGAAAAUGACACUUAGACGCAAAAAUGACAUUUGAAAAAUAUUAUAAAAAAUAAACAAGAAAAAACCCUACCACAUCAUUUUCCCCCUCCCCCGCCCCCCAUACCCUAAUUUCCCCUGCCCCCUGCUGCCGCCGCUGACCCUUCCCCCUGAAACCAGUCAGUCCCUUCCCCAUACAGAAACAACGUUGUCUCAUCCCCCACAUAGAAACACUGCCGACCCCUUCCCCUGAACCAGCCGAGGAAAACAUCUUUCACCUUCGAGCGGCGCAGAUGUUGGAGGUGUCGAAGAAGUUGAGGCUCAAGGCCACUGAAGCCAGUGCCAUCUGCACGCUGGUGGAGCUGAUGCUAGAAUCGAGCAUCAGGUAAGGCAGCGACUCAACCUCAUCCCAUCGUCCUUGGUGAAAUUUGAGGGGGGCGAUUGGGGGCGGCGGCGGCGGCGAGUGGGCCGGGGUAGGGAAAAUUAGGGUUGGGAGAUGGGGGAAGGGGAAAGACGAUUGGGGUAGGGGUUUUUGUUUCUUUUUUUUUAAAAUAUUUUUCAUGUCAUUUUAGAGCCCAAGUGUCAUUUUCGGUCGCUUCUGUGUUAUUUUCAAUGUCUUUAUAGGAAAAAACUGAUCACCGGAUAAAUUUGAGAAGAAAAUGAAAGGUUAUGGAUUGUGUGGUCGAUUUUUGAAAAUAGGUACAAUUUCCAAAUUCGAGAAA
Salvia miltiorrhiza (redroot sage) is the source of this 745-nucleotide long non-coding RNA. RefSeq lists it as uncharacterized. The transcript is spliced from 2 exons. The record is from RefSeq and is a predicted model, not a curated record. Lineage: Eukaryota; Viridiplantae; Streptophyta; Magnoliopsida; Lamiales; Lamiaceae.